UUAGUGGCGGACGGGUGAGUAACGCGUGGAUAACCUGCCGUAUACCGGGGGAGUAACACUUAGAAAUAGGUGCUAAUACCGCAUAAGCGCACGGCUCCGCAUGGGGCAGUGUGAAAAAUUCCGGUGGUAUACGAUGGAUCCGCGUCUGAUUAGCUAGUUGGCGGGGUAACGGCCCACCAAGGCAGCGAUCAGUAGCCGGCCUGAGAGGGUGGACGGCCACAUUGGGACUGAGACACGGCCCAAACUCCUACGGAAGGCAGCAG
Molecule: ribosomal RNA, 263 nt
Filed under: uncultured bacterium
Lineage: Bacteria
Description: partial 16S ribosomal RNA
Rfam family: Bacterial small subunit ribosomal RNA
Source: RNAcentral